GAUGAAGAACGCAGCGAAAUGCGAUAAGUAAUGUGAAUUGCAGAAUUCAGUGAACCAUCGAAUCUUUGAACGCACAUUGCGCCCGGCAGUAAUCUGCCGGGCAUGCCUGUCCGAGCGUCAUUUCUACCCUCGAGCGAGUCCAGCAUCUAGGUGCUGGGCCUCGCCCGGCGUUGGAGCACUACGGGAAGCCCUGUGCUGUCCCCCGUAGGCCCCGAAAUGAAGUGGCGGUCCUGCCGCGGCGCCCCCUGCGUAGUAAACCAACUCGCACCGGAACCCCGACGUGGCCACGCCGUAAAACACCCAACUUCUGAACGUUGACCUCGAAUCAGGUAGGACUACCCGCUGAACUUAAGCAUAUCAAAGCGGAGGA
RNAcentral lists this unclassified non-coding RNA (370 nucleotides) under soil metagenome. RNAcentral's name for it is "partial contains 5.8S ribosomal RNA, internal transcribed spacer 2, and large subunit ribosomal RNA". The stretch from base 1 to 120 matches the Rfam family "5.8S ribosomal RNA", at positions 35 to 154 of the family's 154-position model. The record is from RNAcentral.